This 441-nucleotide ribosomal RNA is filed under the name uncultured bacterium. RNAcentral's name for it is "partial 16S ribosomal RNA". It matches the Rfam family "Bacterial small subunit ribosomal RNA", at positions 338 to 795 of the family's 1533-position model. The record is from RNAcentral.
CCUACGGGUGGCAGCAGUCGGGAAUCUUGCGCAAUGGAGGAAACUCUGCCGCCGUGACGCCGCGUGCAGGAAGAAGGUUUUCGGAUUGUAAACUGCUUUAGACAGGUCAGAAACACGACAGUACCUGUCAACUCAGCUCCGGCUAACUACGUGCCAGCCGCCGCGGUAAUACGUAGGGAGCCCGCGUUAUCCGGAUUUCUGGGGUGUAAAGGGUGCGUAGACGGGAAGGCACGCUGGUUGUGAAAUCCCUCGGCGUAACUGAGGAACUGCAACCAACACUCACUUUCUUGAGUGCUGGAGAGGAAAGUGGAAGUCCGAGUGUAGCGGUGAAAGGCGUAGAGAUUAGGAGGAACACCAGUGGCGAAGGCGACUUUCUGGACAGUAACUGACGUUGAGGCACGAAAGUGUGGGGAGCAAACAGGAUUAGAUACACUAGUAGGC